Sebastes umbrosus (honeycomb rockfish) is the source of this 849-nucleotide long non-coding RNA. RefSeq lists it as uncharacterized. The record is from RefSeq and is a predicted model, not a curated record. The transcript is spliced from 2 exons. Lineage: Eukaryota; Metazoa; Chordata; Actinopteri; Perciformes; Sebastidae.
CCGGCAUGUAGGUGUAAACAAAAGAGGUGUGGAGGAAACCCAUAGGGGGGUUAAUGAUGAGAGGGCAGGCGCCUCCCAGUCAUCAUCCAGCCUCCAUCACACUAGUGCCUGCCUCCACAUUUAGGAUAUACUGUUGGUUUCUUAUAGUUUGGCAUUCAUGUUGCAAACUGCAAAACUUAGCAGGUGGGACACAAAACAGGGAAAGUAAACUGAUGCAAUAAGUAGCCUAUAUUAUACUUUUGCCUUGUGCAUAUGAUUUGCUGUGUAAAGACUUUAAAAUUAAUGUUUUCAAAAGUCAUUCUUACUCCACAUAAUUUCAAAAACAUUUCACAAAGAAAAAAUUCUGCAACAAAAGUAUGGGUAGGCUUUGUUUAAACUUUUUUAUUUUUCUCCUUUUAAAUCCACUUCAAUCAGCAUAAUUAAGUUUUUGAACAGGGGAGAAACAUUUAUAAAAUAGACUAAAACAGAGAAAGUAAACUGAUGCAAUAAGUAUAGCCUAUAUUAUACCUUUGCCUUAUACAUAGGAUUUACUGGAACAGCUUUGUUCCAGCUGCAAUUGUUCAUUUAAAUAAGUCCUAGCAGCUUUUGCACAUAUUUAUGGAAAGUUUAUCCCUUUUCUCAUUUGAUUGUGUCUUUUUUGUCCUGAUAUUUCAGUGUUUUUUUUAUAUUGUUCUUGUGGCCUUCUUUUUGCUGGGUCCUGAUCCCAGUAAGUCUUUGAGUAGUCUUUGUCAUGUUUUUGGUGUGUCUGUCUCUUGUCUGUGCUCCAGCUUAUUGUCAAUACGGAUGCCGUCCUCUAUUUUUGCUGCAAAACAAAUCUACCUACGGGUAUAAAUGAAGUCACCUGAACCU